CACGAGAGCCACGCCCACCUACAAUUAAAGCAGACUCAUAAGGGAAAACAGACAGACAGACAUAAAAGGGUGGGAAACAGCAGAGAACAAAAGGAAAACAGAGGAGAGCGACCACUGGAUAUAACAAUAACGUGCUGUUUCGAAAUGGCGAUGUUUGGAAACGCUAGAGUUUUACUUUGAAAGUCUACCCGGACGUUGCAUAUUUGUUGUUGCUAACUUGACCGCGGAGACUACACGUCUAAAAAGCGACGCUGAAGGGCCUUGACCAAGCGUCAAAUAUGUGACGAGUCGGAGGAAGCUUUCACCUUUCACAGCGAUGCUGGCGCAGAACUACGGCUUGAACCUUUCAGAAAUAUUCUGAAUGUAUACGGGAAACAGAAAAAUAACCCUGCACCGCUGGACUGAGCUGAGUGUACCUGCAGGACAUCAGAUCAGCUGUAACCAAUCACAACUGGAGGAUUCAGAGUGUCCUCCACGCCGGGUUAAAGCUCUUGUGUCAGCCCCAGCUGUCUGCGGAGGAGAGCGUCUCUGUGAAUAGACCUUCCCUGUGCACUGAUGAGCCGAAACAUCCGACGUGAGAAAAGAGCAGGUGUCAAUAAUAACAUUAAUGAUCGCUCCGUUCCUUUUAGACAAAAUAAAUCAGAAGCAGCCUAUUCACUGUGCUUUCCCUUUAAGAAGUAAAAGAUUUAAGGGACUAGAUAGAAUGAUAUAAAUCUUUCUCUCAUAUCUUCUUUAUUCACCUUCUUUCCUCGCUGUGAGGACUUUGUCCCAUUACCUGCUCCUACAGUGCCAAAUGAUUGACUCCCUCUGUUUAUCCACUUUAAUCUGCCAGGCCUGCUGAAUCAAUGUUAAUGUGUUUUAUGAAAUGUUAACUCGCUGCAAAAGCUGCUCUUCCUGAUUAAAUAUUGACAGAGAGG
This is a long non-coding RNA of Micropterus salmoides (largemouth bass), 917 nucleotides long. RefSeq lists it as uncharacterized. NCBI's taxonomy places the organism in Eukaryota, Metazoa, Chordata, Actinopteri, Centrarchiformes, Centrarchidae. The transcript is spliced from 3 exons. The record is from RefSeq and is a predicted model, not a curated record.